Molecule: transfer RNA, 76 nt
Filed under: Salinivirgaceae bacterium
Lineage: Bacteria; Pseudomonadati; Bacteroidota; Bacteroidia; Bacteroidales; Salinivirgaceae
Description: tRNA-Lys
Rfam family: tRNA
About the family: Transfer RNA (tRNA) molecules are approximately 80 nucleotides in length.
Source: RNAcentral
GACUCGCUAGCUCAGCUGGUAGAGCAACAGACUCUUAAUCUGUGGGUCCAGGGUUCGAUCCCCUGGCGGGUCACCA